Molecule: ribosomal RNA, 2903 nt
Filed under: Escherichia coli
Lineage: Bacteria; Pseudomonadati; Pseudomonadota; Gammaproteobacteria; Enterobacterales; Enterobacteriaceae
Description: 23S ribosomal RNA
Rfam family: Bacterial large subunit ribosomal RNA
Source: RNAcentral
GGUUAAGCGACUAAGCGUACACGGUGGAUGCCCUGGCAGUCAGAGGCGAUGAAGGACGUGCUAAUCUGCGAUAAGCGUCGGUAAGGUGAUAUGAACCGUUAUAACCGGCGAUUUCCGAAUGGGGAAACCCAGUGUGUUUCGACACACUAUCAUUAACUGAAUCCAUAGGUUAAUGAGGCGAACCGGGGGAACUGAAACAUCUAAGUACCCCGAGGAAAAGAAAUCAACCGAGAUUCCCCCAGUAGCGGCGAGCGAACGGGGAGCAGCCCAGAGCCUGAAUCAGUGUGUGUGUUAGUGGAAGCGUCUGGAAAGGCGCGCGAUACAGGGUGACAGCCCCGUACACAAAAAUGCACAUGCUGUGAGCUCGAUGAGUAGGGCGGGACACGUGGUAUCCUGUCUGAAUAUGGGGGGACCAUCCUCCAAGGCUAAAUACUCCUGACUGACCGAUAGUGAACCAGUACCGUGAGGGAAAGGCGAAAAGAACCCCGGCGAGGGGAGUGAAAAAGAACCUGAAACCGUGUACGUACAAGCAGUGGGAGCACGCUUCGGCGUGUGACUGCGUACCUUUUGUAUAAUGGGUCAGCGACUUAUAUUCUGUAGCAAGGUUAACCGAAUAGGGGAGCCGAAGGGAAACCGAGUCUUAACUGGGCGUUAAGUUGCAGGGUAUAGACCCGAAACCCGGUGAUCUAGCCAUGGGCAGGUUGAAGGUUGGGUAACACUAACUGGAGGACCGAACCGACUAAUGUUGAAAAAUUAGCGGAUGACUUGUGGCUGGGGGUGAAAGGCCAAUCAAACCGGGAGAUAGCUGGUUCUCCCCGAAAGCUAUUUAGGUAGCGCCUCGUGAAUUCAUCUCCGGGGGUAGAGCACUGUUUCGGCAAGGGGGUCAUCCCGACUUACCAACCCGAUGCAAACUGCGAAUACCGGAGAAUGUUAUCACGGGAGACACACGGCGGGUGCUAACGUCCGUCGUGAAGAGGGAAACAACCCAGACCGCCAGCUAAGGUCCCAAAGUCAUGGUUAAGUGGGAAACGAUGUGGGAAGGCCCAGACAGCCAGGAUGUUGGCUUAGAAGCAGCCAUCAUUUAAAGAAAGCGUAAUAGCUCACUGGUCGAGUCGGCCUGCGCGGAAGAUGUAACGGGGCUAAACCAUGCACCGAAGCUGCGGCAGCGACACUGUGUGUUGUUGGGUAGGGGAGCGUUCUGUAAGCCUGUGAAGGUGUACUGUGAGGUAUGCUGGAGGUAUCAGAAGUGCGAAUGCUGACAUAAGUAACGAUAAAGCGGGUGAAAAGCCCGCUCGCCGGAAGACCAAGGGUUCCUGUCCAACGUUAAUCGGGGCAGGGUGAGUCGACCCCUAAGGCGAGGCCGAAAGGCGUAGUCGAUGGGAAACAGGUUAAUAUUCCUGUACUUGGUGUUACUGCGAAGGGGGGACGGAGAAGGCUAUGUUGGCCGGGCGACGGUUGUCCCGGUUUAAGCGUGUAGGCUGGUUUUCCAGGCAAAUCCGGAAAAUCAAGGCUGAGGCGUGAUGACGAGGCACUACGGUGCUGAAGCAACAAAUGCCCUGCUUCCAGGAAAAGCCUCUAAGCAUCAGGUAACAUCAAAUCGUACCCCAAACCGACACAGGUGGUCAGGUAGAGAAUACCAAGGCGCUUGAGAGAACUCGGGUGAAGGAACUAGGCAAAAUGGUGCCGUAACUUCGGGAGAAGGCACGCUGAUAUGUAGGUGAAGUCCCUCGCGGAUGGAGCUGAAAUCAGUCGAAGAUACCAGCUGGCUGCAACUGUUUAUUAAAAACACAGCACUGUGCAAACACGAAAGUGGACGUAUACGGUGUGACGCCUGCCCGGUGCCGGAAGGUUAAUUGAUGGGGUCAGCGCAAGCGAAGCUCUUGAUCGAAGCCCCGGUAAACGGCGGCCGUAACUAUAACGGUCCUAAGGUAGCGAAAUUCCUUGUCGGGUAAGUUCCGACCUGCACGAAUGGCGUAAUGAUGGCCAGGCUGUCUCCACCCGAGACUCAGUGAAAUUGAACUCGCUGUGAAGAUGCAGUGUACCCGCGGCAAGACGGAAAGACCCCGUGAACCUUUACUAUAGCUUGACACUGAACAUUGAGCCUUGAUGUGUAGGAUAGGUGGGAGGCUUUGAAGUGUGGACGCCAGUCUGCAUGGAGCCGACCUUGAAAUACCACCCUUUAAUGUUUGAUGUUCUAACGUUGACCCGUAAUCCGGGUUGCGGACAGUGUCUGGUGGGUAGUUUGACUGGGGCGGUCUCCUCCUAAAGAGUAACGGAGGAGCACGAAGGUUGGCUAAUCCUGGUCGGACAUCAGGAGGUUAGUGCAAUGGCAUAAGCCAGCUUGACUGCGAGCGUGACGGCGCGAGCAGGUGCGAAAGCAGGUCAUAGUGAUCCGGUGGUUCUGAAUGGAAGGGCCAUCGCUCAACGGAUAAAAGGUACUCCGGGGAUAACAGGCUGAUACCGCCCAAGAGUUCAUAUCGACGGCGGUGUUUGGCACCUCGAUGUCGGCUCAUCACAUCCUGGGGCUGAAGUAGGUCCCAAGGGUAUGGCUGUUCGCCAUUUAAAGUGGUACGCGAGCUGGGUUUAGAACGUCGUGAGACAGUUCGGUCCCUAUCUGCCGUGGGCGCUGGAGAACUGAGGGGGGCUGCUCCUAGUACGAGAGGACCGGAGUGGACGCAUCACUGGUGUUCGGGUUGUCAUGCCAAUGGCACUGCCCGGUAGCUAAAUGCGGAAGAGAUAAGUGCUGAAAGCAUCUAAGCACGAAACUUGCCCCGAGAUGAGUUCUCCCUGACUCCUUGAGAGUCCUGAAGGAACGUUGAAGACGACGACGUUGAUAGGCCGGGUGUGUAAGCGCAGCGAUGCGUUGAGCUAACCGGUACUAAUGAACCGUGAGGCUUAACCUU